This 366-nucleotide unclassified non-coding RNA is filed under the name uncultured bacterium. RNAcentral's name for it is "contains 16S-23S intergenic spacer region". The record is from RNAcentral.
UCCCCAUUAACUGGGGCAGUUUCCUGUGAAAAAUUCAACACAGGAUAGGGGUUGCGCUCGUUAACCGACUGAACGGGACACCUCACGGCACGAGCUGACGACAACCGUGCAGCACCUGUCUUCUAGUUCCUUGCGGCACGGCCCUGUUUCCAGGGCUUUCUAGAGAUGUCAAACCUCGGUAAGGUUCUUCGCUUGCUAUCGAAUUAAACCACACGCUCCUCCACUUGUGCAGGUCCCCGUCAAUUCCUUUGAGUUUUAAGCUUGCGCUCGUACUCCCCAGGCGGCUGACUUAUCGCGUUAGCUUCGGUCCAAAGGAGGGUCGAUACUCCCCAAGACCUAGUCAGCAUCGUUUACGGCGUGGACUAC